Molecule: long non-coding RNA, 201 nt
Organism: Arabidopsis thaliana (thale cress)
Lineage: Eukaryota; Viridiplantae; Streptophyta; Magnoliopsida; Brassicales; Brassicaceae
Product: other RNA
Exons: 1
Source: RefSeq
CCGGCCAUUGCCGUUCUCGUUUUGUUCUCUCUGUCCAACCUUCAUCUCUCCGUCGUACCUUCUUUUCUCUACUGUCUUGUCUCUCUCUUUCUCUCCGCCAUCCCCAUCGUGAGACUGGUUACAUUCUUUUCAGUUACUAUCAGUGCGGUGUUUUCUCAUUCAUCCCCAAUCUUGGACACCGCUUCUGUUUUUUCAUGAUUU